Molecule: ribosomal RNA, 791 nt
Filed under: Microbacterium oleivorans
Lineage: Bacteria; Bacillati; Actinomycetota; Actinomycetes; Micrococcales; Microbacteriaceae
Description: bacterial SSU rRNA
Rfam family: Bacterial small subunit ribosomal RNA
Source: RNAcentral
AAAGAGCUNGUAGGCGNUUUGUNGCNUNNGCUGUGAAAUCCCGAGGCUCAACCUNGGNNNUGCAGUGGGUACGGGCAGACUAGAGUGCGGUAGGGGAGAUUGGAAUUCCUGGUGUAGCGGUGGAAUGCGCAGAUAUCAGGAGGAACACCGAUGGCGAAGGCAGAUCUCUGGGCCGUUACUGACGCUGAGGAGCGAAAGGGUGGGGAGCAAACAGGCUUAGAUACCCUGGUAGUCCACCCCGUAAACGUUGGGAACUAGUUGUGGGGUCCAUUCCACGGAUUCCGUGACGCAGCUAACGCAUUAAGUUCCCCGCCUGGGGAGUACGGCCGCAAGGCUAAAACUCAAAGGAAUUGACGGGGACCCGCACAAGCGGCGGAGCAUGCGGAUUAAUUCGAUGCAACGCGAAGAACCUUACCAAGGCUUGACAUAUACGAGAACGGGCCAGAAAUGGUCAACUCUUUGGACACUCGUAAACAGGUGGUGCAUGGUUGUCGUCAGCUCGUGUCGUGAGAUGUUGGGUUAAGUCCCGCAACGAGCGCAACCCUCGUUCUAUGUUGCCAGCACGUAAUGGUGGGAACUCAUGGGAUACUGCCGGGGUCAACUCGGAGGAAGGUGGGGAUGACGUCAAAUCAUCAUGCCCCUUAUGUCUUGGGCUUCACGCAUGCUACAAUGGCCGGUACAAAGGGCUGCAAUACCGCGAGGUGGAGCGAAUCCCAAAAAGCCGGUCCCAGUUCGGAUUGAGGUCUGCAACUCGACCUCAUGAAGUCGGAGUCGCUAGUAAUCGCAGAUCA